This 77-nucleotide transfer RNA is filed under the name Arthrobacter sp. 7749. Its description in RNAcentral is "tRNA-Arg". It matches the Rfam family "tRNA". Rfam says of the family: Transfer RNA (tRNA) molecules are approximately 80 nucleotides in length. Their secondary structure includes four short double-helical elements and three loops (D, anti-codon, and T loops). Further hydrogen bonds mediate the characteristic L-shaped molecular structure. tRNAs have two regions of fundamental functional importance: the anti-codon, which is responsible for specific mRNA codon recognition, and the 3' end, to which the tRNAs corresponding amino acid is attached (by aminoacyl-tRNA synthetases). tRNAs cope with the degeneracy of the genetic code in two manners: having more than one tRNA (with a specific anti-codon) for a particular amino acid; and 'wobble' base-pairing, i.e. permitting non-standard base-pairing at the 3rd anti-codon position. The record is from RNAcentral. Lineage: Bacteria; Bacillati; Actinomycetota; Actinomycetes; Micrococcales; Micrococcaceae.
GCCCCCGUAGCUCAGAUGGAUAGAGCAAGAGCCUUCUAAUCUCUAGGUCACGCGUUCGAAUCGCGUCGGGGGCACUA